RNAcentral lists this small RNA (466 nucleotides) under Arabidopsis thaliana (thale cress). Its description in RNAcentral is "ATSL088210". The record is from RNAcentral. Lineage: Eukaryota; Viridiplantae; Streptophyta; Magnoliopsida; Brassicales; Brassicaceae.
AAUUUAAAAAUUAGAUUAUUCGGGAAUACACAUUGAAUGCGAAGAUUACGCAUUUCAUUUCUGGUAGUAGAUCCAUAAUCAAAAAAGUGUUUGUGAUUGUUCCAGAAGAAGAAAUGAAACAAAAGAUACGGUAGAGCUAGGACAGUUAUUGUAUGAGGUCUACCCAAUGCUAAAUGCAGAGGCGCAUAAUAGAUCGAUAUGAACAUCAUGAGCUGUCCCGCAAUAAAACCUGUUGUUGCUGAUACUUUCUUCUCGGUUCCUUCUUCUCCUUCGUCCAUAACCCGAGCUCGGAGAAGGAAGAGAUAAAAGGGCCCUAUGGAGAAUGUGGUCAGAAAUCCAUAAUAGAGUCCGACCACAACGACCGAAUUGAUUAUCUUCAUGCAUAAGUAUACUAGAUUACCUAGUAUAAAAGAUUGAAAAACCAUCACAAACCUCCCCUUUUUCUUUUCUAUUUCAAUUUAUGGAU